RNAcentral lists this long non-coding RNA (882 nucleotides) under Oryza sativa Indica Group (long-grained rice). RNAcentral describes it as "lncRNA OsZS97_12G003530". Lineage: Eukaryota; Viridiplantae; Streptophyta; Magnoliopsida; Poales; Poaceae. The record is from RNAcentral.
AGGCGACGACCUCACCGGCGCUCAUCUCCCCUUCCCUCCUCCUCUGCCUCGCCGCCGCCCAAGCCACAAGGACGGCGGCGGCGGGGCUUCGUCCUCGCGCUCGGGCAUGGGAGGGGGACCUGCUUGAGGGCGGCGGAACUGGCUAGAUCCGUGCCGCCGACUGGAUCUGGCGGUGGACCGGCGGCGGGGCUGAGCGGUGCGGCGGCGGUGUCUGGUGGUGGUGGCAGCGGCGUCGAGGUGUUGGCGGCCGCAGCGGAGGAAACCGCCAGAUCCGCGCCUGGAUCUGGCGGGACGGCGGCCGGCGGCGGCGUCUGGUGGCGGGGAUGGCGACGACGACGAGGGCGGCAAGGGGAUGGCGUCGAUGAGGUGAACCUGGCCGCGUCGGCGGCGGAUCCAGCGCCCGGAGGUCUGGCUGUCACGACGGUGGUGGCGACGAGUUCGCAGCGACGGCGGCGCAGGCUACCACGGCGGGCCGUCUGCGCCGUGUGUCGUCGGAGCUCGACGACGGCGACAAGGUGCGGGAGGAUAACGAGAUGGCAGCAGGGAUGGAAGGGUAGCAACGGCUGCUGUGGUGGCGGCGGAGGUGGCAAGGGGAUGGCGUCGGUGAGGCAAACUUGGCCGCGCCGGCGGCGGAACCAACGCCGGAGGAGUUUGGUUGUCGUGGCGAUGGUGGUGACGAGCUCGCGGCAACGGCGGCACGGGCUACCACGGUGGGCGGUCUGCGCCGUGUGCCAUCGGAGCUUGAUGACGGCGAGAAAGGGCGAGAGGAUGGUGAGAUGGCGGCGGGGAUGGAAGGGCAGCGGUGGCUGUGGUGGUGGCGACCGUCACCACGGUAUGGGGGGGGGCGGCGGUGCAGUGAUCCCACAUGGAGGCAGAGGUUGA